AUGGGGCGCAAGAAGCCACAUUUAGAUUAUUUCAUGAAAAUUUUUCAUAAUCAUACGUGUCAUGGAACUUCACAGCAAAAUAGUCACGAUUUUUUAAUAUUAUCUAUGGUUUUCCUUUGAAAUGAAAUAAACAAAAGUGACGUUUGCGAAAUGGCAAAAAAUCCACUUUGUUGCAUAAUUUGGUUCAUUGCCUUUUACUUUUCUUUCAUCAUUGCAUUUUUCUGUGCGUUUUGGUACAUCAUAUUGUACCCUUUCACAGUGUGUAUAAGCGCUUGCUCGGACUAUACGGACUUGCUGCUGAAGGGAAUUCAGCUGCCUCAGUUCUGUGCUAACAAGAUGGUGCAUUGUGAAGGAUGUUAAUGUUUUAAAACCCUAUUUUAUAUCUAUGGUUUUUGUUUAAAAUGAAAUAAACAAAUGUGAAACAAA
Molecule: long non-coding RNA, 426 nt
Organism: Tribolium castaneum (red flour beetle)
Lineage: Eukaryota; Metazoa; Arthropoda; Insecta; Coleoptera; Tenebrionidae
Exons: 2
Source: RefSeq, a predicted model, not a curated record